GUCAACGACCAUACCAUGUUGAACACACCGGUUCUCGUCCGAUCACCGAAGUUAAGCAACAUCGGGCAUGGCUAGUACUUAGCUAGGUGCCAUGUGUCGUUGGCA
RNAcentral lists this ribosomal RNA (105 nucleotides) under Anopheles minimus. The record is from RNAcentral. Lineage: Eukaryota; Metazoa; Arthropoda; Insecta; Diptera; Culicidae.